Molecule: ribosomal RNA, 391 nt
Filed under: uncultured bacterium
Lineage: Bacteria
Description: bacterial SSU rRNA
Rfam family: Bacterial small subunit ribosomal RNA
Source: RNAcentral
AAUUCGAUUGUGCCAGCAGCCGCGGUAAUACAGAGGGUGCGAGCGUUAAUCGGAUUUACUGGGCGUAAAGCGUGCGUAGGCGGCUGAUUAAGUCGGAUGUGAAAUCCCUGAGCUUAACUUAGGAAUUGCAUUCGAUACUGGUCAGCUAGAGUAUGGGAGAGGAUGGUAGAAUUCCAGGUGUAGCGGUGAAAUGCGUAGAGAUCUGGAGGAAUACCGAUGGCGAAGGCAGCCAUCUGGCCUAAUACUGACGCUGAGGUACGAAAGCAUGGGGAGCAAACAGGAUUAGAUACCCUGGUAGUCCAUGCCGUAAACGAUGUCUACUAGCCGUUGGGGCCUUUGAGGCUUUAGUGGCGCAGCUAACGCGAUAAGUAGACCGCCUGGGGAGUACGGU